Molecule: ribosomal RNA, 780 nt
Filed under: uncultured Sphingobacteriales bacterium
Lineage: Bacteria; Pseudomonadati; Bacteroidota; Sphingobacteriia; Sphingobacteriales
Description: bacterial SSU rRNA
Rfam family: Bacterial small subunit ribosomal RNA
Source: RNAcentral
AGAGUUUGAUCCUGGCUCAGGAUGAACGCUAGCGGCAGGCCUAAUACAUGCAAGUCGAACGGAUGUAGCAAUACAUUAGUGGCGCACGGGUGCGUAACGCGUAUGCAACCUACCUUUCAGUGGGGGAUAGCCCGGGGAAACCCGGAUUAAUACCGCAUAAGAUAGUUGACUGGCAUCAGUUAAUUAUGAAACAUUUAUGGCUGAAAGAUGGGCAUGCGUUAGAUUAGCUAGUUGGUGAGGUAGCAGCUCACCAAGGCGAUGAUCUAUAGGGGUUCUGAGAGGAAGAUCCCCCACACUGGUACUGAGACAGGGACCAGACUCCUACGGGAGGCAGCAGUAGGGAAUAUUGGGCAAUGGAGGCAACUCUGACCCAGCCAUGCCGCGUGCAGGAAGAAGGCCUUCUGGGUUGUAAACUGCUUUUGGAAGUGAACAAAAAGACACUGCGGUGUAAAUUGAGUGUAGCUUCAGAAUAAGCACCGGCUAACUCCGUGCCAGCAGCCGCGGUAAUACGGAGGGUGCGAGCGUUAUCCGGAAUGAUUGGGCGUAAAGCGUCCGCAGGUGGCAGUGUAAGUCUGCUGUCAAAGGUCAGGGCUCAACCCUGAACAGGCAGUGGAAACUACACAGCUAGAGUGCGGUGGGGGCAGAGGGAAUUCCCAGUGUAGCGGUGAAAUGCGUAGAGAUUGGGAAGAACACCGGUGGCGAAAGCGCUCUGCUGGACCAUAACUGACACUCAGGGACGAAAGCUAGGGGAGCGAAUGGGAUUAGAUACCCCAGUAGUCC